GUGUCAGAUCCUCGGAGGUCGGAUUGGCACGUUGCCGUGACUACCAAGAUUAGGGAUACAUAUGACUUGGAAGGUGAGGCAAAUGAUGUUCUGAAUCAUGCAUACACACAGACUACAAUACAACAUAGGCAAAAUAUGCAACUUUCAGAUCAUGAAGGUGACACAGAUUUUGUGUGGACUAGAUCAGAUAUAGAAGGGAUGAUAGUUCAGACCCCCAUUGAACUAAACAAUGAAAUUGCAAGUUCAGAUGACGACAAUAUGUCUAAUUGAAUGACCAGUCUCGGUUGAUGAUGAAGAACAUAGUGUUCAGA
This is a long non-coding RNA of Telopea speciosissima, 311 nucleotides long. RefSeq lists it as uncharacterized. Lineage: Eukaryota; Viridiplantae; Streptophyta; Magnoliopsida; Proteales; Proteaceae. The transcript is spliced from 3 exons. The record is from RefSeq and is a predicted model, not a curated record.